This 241-nucleotide ribosomal RNA is filed under the name uncultured bacterium. RNAcentral's name for it is "partial 16S ribosomal RNA". It matches the Rfam family "Bacterial small subunit ribosomal RNA", at positions 559 to 793 of the family's 1533-position model. The record is from RNAcentral.
CGUAAAGCGCAUGCAGGUGGUUUGUUAAGUCAGAUGUGAAAGACCCGGGGCGUCAACCUCGGAAUAGCAUUUGUAAACUAGGCAGACUAGAGUACUGUAGAGGGGGGUAGGAAUUUCAGGUGUAGCGGUGAAAUGCGUAGAGAUCUGAAGGAAUACCGGUGGCGAAGGCGGCCCCCUCGGACAGAUACUGACACUCAGAUGCGAAAGCGUGGGGAGCAAACAGGAUUAGAUACCCUGGUAG